Molecule: ribosomal RNA, 465 nt
Filed under: uncultured bacterium
Lineage: Bacteria
Description: partial 16S ribosomal RNA
Rfam family: Bacterial small subunit ribosomal RNA
Source: RNAcentral
CCUACGGGUGGCCGCAGUGGGGAAUAUUGCGCAAUGGGCGAAAGCCUUACGCAGCGACGCCGCGUGAGGGAUGAAGGUCUUCGGAUCGUAAACCUCUGUCAGCAGGGAAGAAAGGUCACUGUGCUAAUCAGCAGUGAAUUGACGGUACCUGAAACGGAAGCACCGGCUACCUCCGUGCCAGCAGCCGCGGUAAUACGGAGGGUGCGAGAGUUAAUCGGAAUUACUGGGCGUAAAGCGCUCGUAGGCGGUAGGUAAAGUCAAGGGUGAAAUCCCCGCGCUAAACGUGGGAACUGCCUUUGAUACUGGCAAACUGGAGUGUGUGAGAGGAGAGUGGAAUUCCAGGUGUAGGAGGGAAAUCCGUAGAUAUCUGGAGGAACAUCAGUGGCGAAGGCGACUAUCUGGCACAUAACUGACGCUGAGGAGCGAAAGCGUGGGUAGCAAACAGGAUUAGAUACCCCUGUAGUC